This is a small nucleolar RNA of Ochotona princeps (American pika), 101 nucleotides long. Its record names the gene U3. It matches the Rfam family "Small nucleolar RNA U3". Rfam says of the family: Small nucleolar RNAs (snoRNAs) are involved in the processing and modification of rRNA in the nucleolus. There are two main classes of snoRNAs: the box C/D class, and the box H/ACA class. NCBI's taxonomy places the organism in Eukaryota, Metazoa, Chordata, Mammalia, Lagomorpha, Ochotonidae. The record is from Ensembl.
AAGACUAUGCUUUCAGGGAUCAUUUCUAUAGUUGUGAAAAACACUAAUAGGAGUAACAGGUGACACCUAUUGACUGCCAGGUAUUGUUCUAAGCACUUUGG